This 337-nucleotide unclassified non-coding RNA is filed under the name soil metagenome. Its description in RNAcentral is "partial contains 5.8S ribosomal RNA, internal transcribed spacer 2, and large subunit ribosomal RNA". The stretch from base 1 to 120 matches the Rfam family "5.8S ribosomal RNA", at positions 35 to 154 of the family's 154-position model. The record is from RNAcentral.
GAUGAAGAACGUAGCGAAAUGCGAUAAGUAAUGUGAAUUGCAGAAUUCCGUGAAUCAUCGAAUCUUUGAACGCACAUUGCGCCCGCCAGUAUUCUGGCGGGCAUGCCUGUUCGAGCGUCAUUUCAACCAUCAAGCCCCCCGGCUUGUGUUGGGGACCUGCGGCUGCCGCAGGCCCUGAAAAGCAGUGGCGGGCUCGCUGUCACACCGAGCGUAGUAGAUCUCAUCUCGCUCAGGGCGUGCUGCGGGUUCCGGCCGUUAAACCACCUUCAUAACCCAAGGUUGACCUCGGAUCAGGUAGGAAGACCCGCUGAACUUAAGCAUAUCAAUAAGCGGAGGA